This 1104-nucleotide long non-coding RNA is filed under the name Cyanistes caeruleus (blue tit). RNAcentral describes it as "lncRNA (ENSCCEG00000013609.1)". Lineage: Eukaryota; Metazoa; Chordata; Aves; Passeriformes; Paridae. The record is from RNAcentral.
CCAGGUGACUCACGGUGAAGAUCUCCACGAUGUCGUUGGAGGUUGUCCUCACGGGGUCCAUCAGGACCCAGAUGUCCCUGUCACCCCCAGAUGUUCCUCAAACCCCAGCCCAGGUGUGUCCCCAGGUGUCUCCAGCCCAGGUGUGUCCCCAGGUGUGUCCCCAGCCCAGGUGUGUCCCCAGAUGUCCCCAGGUGUGUCCCCAGGUGUCCCCAGGUGUGUCCCCAGCCCAGGUGACUCACGGUGAAGAUCUCCACGAUGUCGUUGGAGGUUGUCCUCACGGGGUCCACGUCCUUCUCGCUCAGCACCCGCAUGAGGCUGACGCCGUCGGUCUCCAGGAUCCACUCCUGGAGCGCCUUGAACUCCCCGUCCUCGGUGAUGAUGAUCUUCUUCUUGUUGUCCGUCUGCGGCAGGUGCAUGUACACCUGGCCAGGUGGGGACAGGGGUCACCACGGGCCACCACGGAUCACCACAGGUCAGCAUGGGUCAGCACGGGCCACCAUGGAUCACCACGGGUCACCACAGGUCACCACGGGUCACCAUGGAUCACCACAGGUCACCAUGGGUCACCAUGGGCCACCACAGGUCACCACAGGCCACCAUGGGUCACCACAGGUCACCAUGGGCCACCAUGGUGUCAUCACGGGUCACCAUGGGUUACCACGGGUCACCACGGGUCAGCAUGGGCCACCACAGGUCAGCAUGGGUCACCACUGGUCACCACGAGUCACCAUGGUGUCACCAUCGGCCACCACGGGCCACCAUGGGUCAACAUGGGUCACCACGGGCCACCAUGGGUCACCAUGGGCCACCAUGGAUCACCACUGGUCACCACGGGUCACCAUGGUGUCACCAUCGGCCACCACGGGUCACCAUGGGCCACCAUGGUGUCAUCACAGGUCACCAUGGAUCACCAUGGGCCACCACGGGCCAUCACAGGUCACCACAGGUCACCACGGGCCACCAUGGUGUCAUCACGGGUCACCAUGGGCCACCACGGGUCACCAUGGGCCACCAUGGAUCACUGCGGGCCACCACGGGUCACCAUGGGCCACUACAGCUGUCCUAGAUCUUCUAAAGGUCUCCUGGAACCUCCCAGAAGUCUCC